Molecule: ribosomal RNA, 433 nt
Filed under: uncultured bacterium
Lineage: Bacteria
Description: partial 16S ribosomal RNA
Rfam family: Bacterial small subunit ribosomal RNA
Source: RNAcentral
AACGAACGCUGGCGGCAUGCCUAACACAUGCAAGUCGAACGAGACCUUCGGGUCUAGUGGCGCACGGGUGCGUAACGCGUGGGAACCUGCCCUUAGGUUCGGAAUAACUCCCCGAAAGGGGUGCUAAUACCGGAUAAUGUCUUCGGACCAAAGAUUUAUCGCCUUUGGAUGGGCCCGCGUUGGAUUAGCUAGUUGGUAGGGUAAAAGCCUACCAAGGCGACGAUCCAUAGCUGGUCUGAGAGGAUGAUCAGCCACACUGGGACUGAGACACGGCCCAGACUCCUACGGGAGGCAGCAGUGGGGAAUAUUGGACAAUGGGCGAAAGCCUGAUCCAGCAAUGCCGCGUGAGUGAUGAAGGCAUUAGGGUUGUAAAGCUCUUUUACCCGGGAUGAUAAUGACAGUACCGGGAGAAUAAGCGCCGGCUAACUCCGUG